RNA transcript from Dryobates pubescens (Downy woodpecker), 3730 nucleotides. It is a transcript of the gene named vascular endothelial growth factor A, with no coding region annotated. The transcript has 7 exons. NCBI's taxonomy places the organism in Eukaryota, Metazoa, Chordata, Aves, Piciformes, Picidae. The record is from RefSeq and is a predicted model, not a curated record.
AAUUUAUUUUUUUUAAGCGGUGAACAGAGAGAGGGAGAGGCAGAGAGGGCAAGAGGAAAGCGCUCUGUUCCUCUCCUCCGCCGCCACAACCCCGACUUGCGGAGAGGGGUCGGGCCGAGCAGCGGCGGCGGGAUCAGUCCUUUUCCCCCAGGGAGGCGACCCCGGCUCGGGGGACGGAGGCAGCCGCCGCGAAGAGAGGGCGCAGGAAGAGAGAUGCAUUGAAACUUUACGCGCAAACUUUGGCGUGAGUGCGCGAAACCCAGCGAACGCGGUGCGGGUGUGUGCCUGCCCCGGCGCGGGGAGAGCGGCCGCGGACGGGCGCCGCUGUGGAGCUCGGACUGCCCGGCGGUGGGGGCCGAGCGGCGGCGGGGCGGCUGUGGAGCCUGCGCUCGGCCCGGCGGAGCGCCCACCGAAAACAGCAGCGGGAGCCGGCGGAGAGCCGGCCUUAUGGAGGGGUGAAACCGGAGACGCCGAAGGGGAAACCUCCUUUCUCCAGAGCCCCUAGCAGCGCCCGGCCGGCGGCACCCCAGGAGGCGGCGGCGGGCACGGAGGAGGCGCAGGCGAGAGCGCGGAGGGGCGGCGGCGGGGCGGCGGCGAGGCGGAGCGCGGCGGGCCCCGUUCCGCGGCGUGCGCCGGCAACCAUGAACUUUCUCCUCACUUGGAUCCACUGGGGGCUGGCAGCGCUGCUCUAUCUGCAGAGCGCGGAGUUGUCGAAGGCUGCUCCUGCCCUGGGGGAUGGGGAGCGGAAACCCAAUGAAGUUAUCAAAUUCCUGGAAGUCUACGAGCGCAGCUUCUGCAGGACAAUUGAGACCCUGGUGGACAUUUUCCAGGAGUACCCUGAUGAGGUGGAGUACAUAUUCAAGCCAUCCUGUGUGCCUCUGAUGAGAUGUGCGGGUUGCUGCGGCGAUGAGGGCCUAGAAUGUGUCCCUGUGGAUGUGUACAACGUCACAAUGGAGAUCAUGAGAAUUAAACCCCAUCAGAGUCAGCACAUAUCACACAUGAGCUUCUUACAGCACAGUAAAUGUGACUGCAGACCAAAGAAAGAUGUCAAAAACAAACAAGAAAAGUGGGCACAGAACCCCAGAUCUGACGGUCCUUCCUUCAUACCCCAGACCUGCAGCUUGCAUGACCCACAGCCCUGGCGGUCAUUCCUAAUGUUUUAUCCCGAGUCAGGGAAGUCCCGUCGUGUGUGUCCUACCAGAAUGGAUUCAAGGUGCAGCCCUCAUUCUCCCUUCCCUCUUCCUGGGGUGUUUCUGGUUACUGCAAAAGGCUACCUUUCUUUAUCAUUAAUUUUUUCCUUAAUGCUUGAGUGAGUACUUGCUGGCUUCUUUCGCAGCAGCUUGGGUAGGAACCUGCUGACUAGAGGGAGAGGUUGCAAUAGAGGCCUGAUUAAGGCAGGACUGAUGCCAUGCAGGAUGUGACACUGGUUUUGGUUGGGGGCCUGGGAGGGUGUAAAGGGAGGUGGAUGUCCGAGCUGGAUUUUGGUGGAGGCUUUCAUGAGAUUUUGCACUGGUGACCUGAAGGGGAUUUAAGGCACAAUCUUCCCUUCUUCCCAAAAGUAAAAAAGUUGUGUAUGGUAGAGAAAUAAGCUCUCAUCCUGCAGUAGUUGCAGUAACAGUCACAACUGUAGAACAACAUCAAAAAGAAAGAGUGACCUCUCUCAAGAAGAGGCUCAGCUGGACUGCAUGUGGCUGGAAUAGUGACUCUGCCAUUUAGAGGUGUGGAGUUGAAGAGGAAGGGGGUGAAUAUUGGAAGAUGAAACUGAAACAGACACAGAGAGCAAGCAGGAGAGUGAGAGAACUUCUUUCACCCCUCUCCUGGUGGCUGUAUAUCUCUAGCUGCCUUCCAUCCUGUCCUCCCCAUGGACAUCUUCUGGCUGCACUGGACUGUGUGCAGCCUAUGCUCCUCUCUGUACAGGGCCAUGUCGAGGAUGGUCGAUCUGUGUGGCUCAGUGGUUUGAAGGUGUGCAAGAGUUGGGUCUGUGUGAACUCUGGUGAGGAUGGGGUGUGGGUGAAGCAGCCAGUCCAGACUGUGUUGCAUUCCCUUUCCUCUUCUAACAGCACCUUGCUUGCUCUUUGCUAGUUCCGCACUCCCUGGGGAGGGGAUGGGAGAGAUUGGUGUGCUUUGUUUUUUGCUGAAUUGAAUAUCUUGUUAUAUUGGUGCUCUUGUCCUCUCUUUAGGUCAAUUUUGCUCCCCUCACUGCCUCCCUAUGAUUCCUGACAUGUAGGGUAGAGGCUUGAAGGGAGAUGAUGCUCUGACACUUGUUCCAAUGAGACAGCUUGGAUAGGGCCUAAGAAACACCUAUGGUGCUUUCCCUUUUGUCCCCCUGUGUCCCCUUUGCAGCUCUCUUUCAAGGUGGGCUGUGCCAGGGAACAUGGUAACCUUUGCUGAGCUGCCACAGAGCUGAGGUUCACUUGGCUGACAAAACCUGGUGCUUUGCCCCAGGCUUUCUCCUUGCAUGUCUCUCCCUUGGUCCUGCACUCACAUGGCUGAAGGAGCUGCGCAGGCUCCAGCCUCCCUCCCAUGCUGCACUCUUACUGGGCUUUAGGCCAUGGUUAGUGGUCCAGGCCUGCAGGUCCCAGCCCCUGCCUGUCCCAGCUCCAGCCAAGAAUCAGGAGCAACUGGUGCAUUUUUCAGAAUGGAGACAGUGUCUUGGUUCUCUCUGCUUGUCUGUGUGGCAGAUCCAUGUGAAAGGGGAGGGAAGGGAAGGAAAGGAGGGAAGAUCUGAAAGCUGCUUGCUGGUUGCCUCCUGGGUGUCAUAACUGGGUCAGGCUUCUCUUUCUCUUUUGGUAGUCAGGAUGGAGGCUGCCAAAAAGUAUGUUACUAGACAUCCAGUGAGAUCUCCGAGUUCUCCGAACCACAGACAGGAAGGAGGUGGAGUGGUUGAGCACAGCUUUCAGGCUAGAUAGUCCUCUCCCACACAGCACUGUUGUGUAGAGCAAGUCUUUCCCCUUGUCUGCAGGGCGCUGAGGCCGGCUUCCUUUGCUCUUAUCCCAAGGCAGGAUUAUCACCAGCCCUGCAGCAGAGCUUUUGGAGCUCAGCUGCAUGCUCCUGGGCCUGGUGCUGGGCCUGGUCCUGGGCAGUGUGUCAGGUCAGAGCAGUUUCCCUUUCCUUGGGGAGAGCCCCACCGCUCAGGUCGCCUCUUGUCAGUCAGUGUGUGCCCAUGCUCGUCGCCUGGUAUGGUUGUGUGCACUCACCGCGGCUGCGCGAUGCUUUCACAAAGCUUUCUGUUCCUUCUCACCCCUUGUCCCUCUCCCACCGCCCCUCUCUGGAGGGUGAAGGUACCUCUCUGAGGCUCCAGCAAAUCCACCUCUGCUGGCAGCACCCCUGCUUUAGGUGGUCUCUGCUGAGUGCCCUGGCACUGGCUGUGGGCAGUGGUUGGGGUGCUGGCAGGAGUGCAGGAGGGCCAGUGAAUGUGUGUGUGAGGUGGAGACCUGUGCUUCAGCCCCGGGACUUGCUCUGCAGUCCUGCCUCAUGUGCUUCCUCCAGCCCAGCAAGGCACAUGGCUGUGUUUUUUUUCCUCUUCUUCCUUGCGUUUUCUUCCGUUUUCUCUCUUUCCCUUUCUUUCCUUCUCUCUCUCUCUCUCUGUUUUUUUCUUUUUUUGUUGUUUUUCUUCCAGAAAAUCAAAGCGAGGAAAGGGGAAGGGUCAAAAGAGAAAGCGCAAGAAAGGCCGGUACAAACCACCCAGCCUAUGUGAAAAACCAAGACGGUGAGCAGCGGAAAAGAAGGG